RNAcentral lists this ribosomal RNA (786 nucleotides) under uncultured bacterium. RNAcentral's name for it is "bacterial SSU rRNA". It matches the Rfam family "Bacterial small subunit ribosomal RNA", at positions 67 to 847 of the family's 1533-position model. The record is from RNAcentral.
CGGCAGCACGGGAGCAAUCCUGGUGGCGAGUGGCGAACGGGUGAGUAAUGUAUCGGAACGUACCUUUCAGUGGGGGAUAACGUAGCGAAAGUUACGCUAAUACCGCAUAUUCUGUGAGCAGGAAAGCAGGGGAUCGCAAGACCUUGCGCUGAUUGAGCGGCCGAUAUCAGAUUAGCUAGUUGGUGAGGUAAAGGCUCACCAAGGCGACGAUCUGUAGCGGGUCUGAGAGGAUGAUCCGCCACACUGGAACUGAGACACGGUCCAGACUCCUACGGGAGGCAGCAGUGGGGAAUUUUGGACAAUGGGGGCAACCCUGAUCCAGCCAUGCCGCGUGAGUGAAGAAGGCCUUCGGGUUGUAAAGCUCUUUCAGCCGGGAAGAAAUCACAUGGGUUAAUACCCUGUGUGGAUGACGGUACCGGAAUAAGAAGCACCGGCUAACUACGUGCCAGCAGCCGCGGUAAUACGUAGGGUGCGAGCGUUAAUCGGAAUUACUGGGCGUAAAGCGUGCGCAGGCGGUUUGUUAAGAUAGGCGUGAAAUCCCCGGGCUCAACCUGGGAACUGCGUUUAUGACUGGCAGGCUAGAGUAUGGCAGAGGGGGGUGGAAUUCCACGUGUAGCAGUGAAAUGCGUAGAGAUGUGGAGGAACACCGAUGGCGAAGGCAGCCCCCUGGGCCAAUACUGACGCUCAUGCACGAAAGCGUGGGUAGCAAACAGGAUUAGAUACCCUGGUAGUCCACGCCCUAAACGAUGUCAACUAGGUGUUGGGGUGGGUAAACCAUUUAGUACC